RNAcentral lists this transfer RNA (71 nucleotides) under Sphaerodactylus townsendi. RNAcentral's name for it is "tRNA-Ala". It matches the Rfam family "tRNA". From Rfam's summary of the family: Transfer RNA (tRNA) molecules are approximately 80 nucleotides in length. Lineage: Eukaryota; Metazoa; Chordata; Lepidosauria; Squamata; Sphaerodactylidae. The record is from RNAcentral.
GGGGCUGUGGCUUAGGGGGAGAACAUCUGCUUGGCAUGCAGAAGGUCCCAGAUUCAAGUCUGUCAACUCCA